UUUUUAGUAUCAAUAUGUCCCAUGCAAUAUUUGGGACAUACAUGUGCUAAAA
Molecule: microRNA precursor, 52 nt
Filed under: Callithrix jacchus (white-tufted-ear marmoset)
Lineage: Eukaryota; Metazoa; Chordata; Mammalia; Primates; Cebidae
Description: mir-1302 microRNA precursor family
Rfam family: mir-1302 microRNA precursor family
Source: Rfam by way of RNAcentral